ACUCAAAGGAAUAGACGGGGGCCCGCACAAGCGGUGGAGCAUGUGGUUUAAUUCGAUGCUACGCGAAGAACCUUACCUAGACUUGACAUCCCGCGCUACCCUAAGAAAUUAGGGGUUCUCUUCGGAGACGCGGUGACAGGUGCUGCAUGGCUGUCGUCAGCUCGUGUUGUGAGAUGUUGGGUUAAGUCCCGCAACGAGCGCAACCCUCGCCCUUAGUUACCAUCAUUAAGUUGGGCACUCUAAGGGGACCGCUUGGCUAUAAGCCAGAGGAAGGUGGGGAUGACGUCAAGUCCUCAUGGCCUUUAUGUCUAGGGCUACACACGUGCUACAAUGGGAGACACAGAGCGUCGCAAGCCGGUGACGGCAAGCUAAUCGCAAAAAAUCUCCUUCAGUUCGGAUUGGAGUCUGCAACUCGACUCCAUGAAGCUGGAAUCGCUAGUAAUCGCGGAUCAGCACGCCGCGGUGAAUACGUUCCCGGGCCUUGUACACACCGCCCGU
Molecule: ribosomal RNA, 498 nt
Filed under: uncultured bacterium
Lineage: Bacteria
Description: partial 16S ribosomal RNA
Rfam family: Bacterial small subunit ribosomal RNA
Source: RNAcentral